RNAcentral lists this ribosomal RNA (629 nucleotides) under uncultured bacterium. RNAcentral describes it as "bacterial SSU rRNA". It matches the Rfam family "Bacterial small subunit ribosomal RNA", at positions 112 to 737 of the family's 1533-position model. The record is from RNAcentral.
AACGCGUAUGCAAUCUGCCUUGUACAGGAGGAUAGCCCGGAGAAAUUCGGAUUAAUACUCCAUAGCACUAUCGAAUCGCAUGAUUUGAUAUUUAAAACUUCGGUGGUACAAGAUGAGCAUGCGUCCUAUUAGCUAGUUGGUGAGGUAACUGCUCACCAAGGCGACGAUAGGUAGGGGGUCUGAGAGGAUUAUCCCCCACACUGGUACUGAGACACGGACCAGACUCCUACGGGAGGCAGCAGUGAGGAAUAUUGGUCAAUGGACGCAAGUCUGAACCAGCCAUGCCGCGUGCAGGAAGAAUGCCCUAUGGGUUGUAAACUGCUUUUAUUUGGGAAGAAACCUCUUUACGUGUAGAGAGCUGACGGUACCAAACGAAUAAGCACCGGCUAACUCCGUGCCAGCAGCCGCGGUAAUACGGAGGGUGCAAGCGUUAUCCCGGAAUCAUUGGGUUUAAAGGGUCCGCAGGCGGGCUUAUAAGUCAGUGGUGAAAUCUCUCGGCUCAACCGAGAAACUGCCAUUGAUACUGUAGGUCUUGAAUUCGGGCGAAGUGGGCGGAAUGAGUAGUGUAGCGGUGAAAUGCAUAGAUAUUACUCAGAACACCGAUAGCGAAGGCAGCUCACUAGGCCCUG